GACGAACGCUGGCGGCGUGCUUAACACAUGCAAGUCGAACGGAAAGGCCCUGCUUUUGUGGGGUGCUCGAGUGGCGAACGGGUGAGUAACACGUGAGUAACCUGCCCUUGACUUUGGGAUAACUUCAGGAAACUGGGGCUAAUACCGGAUAGGAGCUCCUGCUGCAUGGUGGGGGGUGGAAAGUUUCGGCGGUUGGGGUUGGACGCGCGGCUUAUCAGCUUGUUGGUGGGGUAGUGGCUUACCAAGGCGUUGACGGGUAGCCGGCCUGAGAGGGUGACCGGCCACAGUGGGACUGAGAUACGGCCCAGACGGCUACGGGAGGCAGCGGUGGAAAAUAUUGCGCAAUGGGCGGAAGCCUGGUGCAGCAACGCCGCGUGCGGGAUGACGGCCUUCGGGUUGUAAACCGCUUUCGGCUGUGACUAAGCGGGAGUGACGGUACUGGGUAAAGAAGCACCGGCUAACUACGUG
This 468-nucleotide ribosomal RNA is filed under the name uncultured bacterium. Its description in RNAcentral is "partial 16S ribosomal RNA". It matches the Rfam family "Bacterial small subunit ribosomal RNA", at positions 28 to 507 of the family's 1533-position model. The record is from RNAcentral.